Salvia splendens (bonfire salvia) is the source of this 1236-nucleotide RNA transcript. It is a transcript of the gene named small nuclear ribonucleoprotein-associated protein B'-like, with no coding region annotated. The record is from RefSeq and is a predicted model, not a curated record. The transcript is spliced from 3 exons. NCBI's taxonomy places the organism in Eukaryota, Viridiplantae, Streptophyta, Magnoliopsida, Lamiales, Lamiaceae.
CGGUUUCCCCCAUUUCUCUCUCUCACACACACACACACACACAAAAAACCCUAGAGAGACUGAGAGGCUUCAAUUCCCCCCGCCGGCGAAAAUGUCGAUGUCGAAGAGCUCGAAGAUGCUGCAGUACAUCAACUACCGGAUGCGGGUGACAAUUCAGGACGGUCGCCAGCUCAUCGGAAAAUUCAUGGCGUUCGACCGCCACAUGAAUCUCGUCCUCGGCGACUGCGAGGAGUUCCGCAAGCUGCCGCCGACUAAAGGCUCCAAGGAGGAGCGGGAGGACCGCCGCACCCUCGGCCUCGUCCUCCUCCGCGGCGAGGAGGUCAUCUCCCUCACCGUCGAGGGGCCUCCACCCCCCGACGACUCCCGCCUCAAAACCGCAUCCGCCACGGCGGUCCCCGGUCCCGGAAUUGGACGCGCCGCCGGACGCGGCGUCGUCACCGGCCCGCUCUCCCAGGCGCAGCCCGGUCUUGCCGGCCCCGUCCGCGGCGUGGGCGGGCCGGCUCCCGGCAUGAUGCAGCCGCAGAUAUCGCGGCCGCCGCAGAUUUCCGUUCCCCCAAUGCCGUACCCGCAGCAGCCGCCGGUGGUUAGGCCGCCGUCUGUUGCGCCUCCGCAGGGAGGGUUCCCGCCGAGGCCAGGGAUGCCGAUGCCGCCUCCGCCGCAGUUCAGGCCUGGUGGUCCUCCGCCGGCUGGGUUCGGUCCUCCGCCUCAGUAUGGACAGAGGCCGCAGAUGAUGCCGCCGCCUCAGAUGAUGAGGGGUCCGCCGCCUCCUGGUGGCCCCCCGAGGCCUGGAAUGCCUGGUGGUCCUCCGCCUGGGCAGCAGCCACCGAGACCUGGUAUGGCUCCUCCGCCACCACCGGGUGGACAAAUGCAGAUGUUUGGUCCGCCUAGACCAGGAAUGCCGCCGCCCAACGCCCCUCAGAAUCAGCAGCAGUAAUCAAGGUUACCUCGUUAAAAAAGCUACUGGGGGAUUUCUAGUUCAAUCUUUGGGGCUUUUGUACUGUUGAUUCGUGUUUACUUGGAUCAUUUCUAUGGUUGGAGUUUCUCGGGGGUAUUUUUCUGUUAUCUGCAUCUUGUUUUUAUCUUCAAGUUCAGCUGAAAUUUCGGUUUAGAUGGUUGGUUUUGAUUUUCAAUAUUGAAAAGAACAAAUCAAUUGUCAUAUGGUAUCUGGUCUGUAAUUGUAGACACGCAUUGAAACCUGAUUUAGGGAAAAAGGGAAAAAGGCAAUAUUUCUUCUAA